Molecule: ribosomal RNA, 549 nt
Filed under: uncultured bacterium
Lineage: Bacteria
Description: bacterial SSU rRNA
Rfam family: Bacterial small subunit ribosomal RNA
Source: RNAcentral
GGGGAAUCUUCCGCAAUGGACGAAAGUCUGACGGAGCAACGCCGCGUGAGUGAUGACGGCCUUCGGGUUGUAAAGCUCUGUUAAUCGGGACGAAUGGUUCUUGUGCGAAUAGUGCGAGGAUUUGACGGUACCGGAAUAGAAAGCCACGGCUAACUACGUGCCAGCAGCCGCGGUACUACGUAGGUGGCAAGCGUUGUCCGGAAUUAUUGGGCGUAAAGCGCGCGCAGGCGGAUUGGUCAGUCUGUCUUAAAAGUUCGGGGCUUAACCCCGUGAUGGGAUGGAAACUGCCAAUCUAGAGUAUCGGAGAGGAAAGUGGAAUUCCUAGUGUAGCGGUGAAAUGCGUAGAUAUUAGGAAGAACACCAGUGGCGAAGGCGACUUUCUGGACGAAAACUGACGCUGAGGCGCGAAAGCCAGGGGAGCGAACGGGAUUAGAUACCCCGGUAGUCCUGGCCGUAAACGAUGGGUACUAGGUGUAGGAGGUAUCGACCCCUUCUGUGCCGGAGUUAACGCAAUAAGUACCCCGCCUGGGGAGUACGACCGCAAGGUUG